RNAcentral lists this ribosomal RNA (276 nucleotides) under uncultured bacterium. Its description in RNAcentral is "partial 16S ribosomal RNA". It matches the Rfam family "Bacterial small subunit ribosomal RNA", at positions 28 to 303 of the family's 1533-position model. The record is from RNAcentral.
GAUGAACGCUAGCGGCAGGCUUAAUACAUGCAAGUCGAACGGUAAGUGUAGUAGCAAUAUUAUACGAGAGUGACGUACGGGUGCGUAACACGUAUGCAACCUACCUUGUACAGGAGGAUAGCUCGGGGAAACUCGAAUUAACCCUCCAUGAGAUCACAGUGUGGCAUCACAUAGUGAUUAAAACUCAGGUGGUACAAGAUGGGCAUGCGUCUGANAGUUAGUUGGCGGGGUAACGGCCCACCAAGACGAUGAUCAGUAGGGGACCUGAGAGGGUGA